RNA transcript from Hevea brasiliensis (rubber tree), 3756 nucleotides. It is a transcript of the gene named villin-4-like, with no coding region annotated. The record is from RefSeq and is a predicted model, not a curated record. The transcript has 24 exons. NCBI's taxonomy places the organism in Eukaryota, Viridiplantae, Streptophyta, Magnoliopsida, Malpighiales, Euphorbiaceae.
GCCUGGCACUCAUCAUUCCCUCUCUGUCUUUCUCUGUCUCUCUAUCUCUAGCUUUUUUCUCUCUAAACUUCAUUUGCUAUUCUUCUUAUUCUUCUCCUUAGCCCCACUUCUCUCUCUCUCUCUCUCUCUCACCUUUUUCUUUCUCCCUGUGCCAGCUUUUCUUUGCCUCUGUUAGUCCAAGAAAAUUAAAAGAGAAGGAGAAGAAACUCUUUCUCUCCUAAUUUUGGUAAUUAGAUUGGAUCUGGACUGCUUCUUUAUUGUAGUAUCUCCUUCAAAUACCAGGGUACUCUUGUUUCCGUGUUCAAGCCAAAGUUUUGGAAAUACAAAUAAUUGAACUGCAGAAGCAAUAUGGCUGUUUCCAUGAGAGAUCUUGAUUCAGCUUUCCAAGGAGCUGGACAGAAGGCUGGACUUGAAAUAUGGCGGAUUGAAAACUUUCGUCCUGUUCCUGUCCCAAAGUCUUCUUAUGGGAAAUUUUUCAUGGGCGACUCUUAUGUUGUUUUGAAGACAACUGCCCUAAAAAGUGGUGCCUUACGCCACGAUAUUCAUUAUUGGCUGGGUAAAGAUACCUCUCAGGAUGAAGCAGGUUCUGCUGCCGUCAAAACAGUUGAGCUUGAUGCAGCUCUUGGAGGUCGUGCUGUACAGUAUCGUGAAGUACAGGGCCAUGAAACAGAGAAGUUCCUAUCUUAUUUUAAACCAUGUAUCAUACCUCAAGAAGGUGGGGUUGCAUCUGGUUUCAAACAUGCCGAGGCCAAAGAACACCAGACCCGCUUGUUUAUUUGCAAAGGAAAACAUGUUGUUCAUGUAAAAGAGGUUCCUUUUGCUCGAUCCUCACUCAAUCAUGAUGACAUUUUUAUUCUUGAUACCAAGUCAAAAAUUUUUCAAUUUAAUGGUUCGAAUUCAUCUAUCCAAGAGAGAGCUAGAGCUUUGGAAGUAGUCCAGUACAUUAAGGAUACCUAUCAUGAUGGAAAAUGCGAGGUAGCUGCCAUUGAGGAUGGGAAGUUGAUGGCUGAUGCUGAAACUGGGGAAUUCUGGGGUUUCUUUGGUGGUUUUGCUCCACUUCCUAGGAAAACAACCACUGAUGACGAUAAGACUGCUGAUUCUCAUCCUACUAAGCUGUUUUGUGUUGAUAAGGGGAAGGCAGAACCUGUAGUUGCAGAUUCUUUGACAAGGGAAUUACUAGACACUAAUAGGUGCUGUAUUCUAGAUUGUGGAUUGGAAGUGUUUGUAUGGAUAGGGAGAAAUACCUUACUCGAUGAAAGAAAGGCUGCAAGUGGAGCUGCAGAGGAGUUAGUCAUUGGAGCUGAUCGGCCAAAUUCCCACAUUAUUCGUGUAAUUGAGGGUUUUGAGACAGUGAUAUUCCGGUCAAAGUUUGAAUCAUGGCCGCAGACCACUAAUGUAGCUGUGUCGGAGGAUGGUAGAGGCAAUGUUGCAGCACUUCUAAGACGGCAGGGGGUAAAUGUCAAGGGCCUUGUGAAGGCUGCUCCGGCAAAGGAAGAACCUCAACCGUACAUUGAUGUCACAGGAAAUCUGCAGGUUUGGCGUGUGGAUGGCCAGGAAAAGGUUCUCCUUCAAGCUUCAGAUCAGUCCAAAUUUUACAAUGGAGAUUGCUAUAUUUUUCAGUAUUCAUAUCCAGGAGAAGACAAGGAUGAAUAUCUUAUAGGAACAUGGUUUGGGAAGAAUAGUGUUGAGGAGGAAAGAGCUGCUGCUAUUUCACUAACAAGCAAGAUGGUUGAAUCAUUGAAGUUUCUGCCUGCCCAGGCUCGAUUGUAUGAAGGAAAUGAACCAAUUCAGUUCUUUACAAUCAUGCAAAGCUUCAUUGCUUUUAAGGGCGGUCUUAGCACUGGAUACAAGAAUUAUAUUGCGGAGAAGGAACUCCCAGAUGACACAUACAAGGAGAACGGUAUUGCAUUAUUUCGAGUUCAGGGUUCUGGACCAGAUAAUAUGCAGGCAAUACAAGUUGAACCAGUUGCAUCAUCUCUGAAUUCCUCUUACUGUUACAUAUUGCACAAUGACUCCUUCAUUUUUACAUGGUCUGGAAACCUUACAACCUCAGAUGACCAGGAACUUGUGGAAAGGCAGUUGGAUCUGAUAAAGCCAAAUGUACAGUCCAAGCCACAAAAGGAAGGUUCAGAAUCUGAGCAAUUUUGGGAUCUUUUAGGAGGGAAAACUGAAUAUCCCAGCCAAAAAAUUGGAAGGGAAGCUGAAAGGGAUCCUCACCUUUUCUCUUCCACAUUCUCAAAGGGAAAUCUGAAGGUGGCUGAGAUAUACAACUUUACCCAGGAUGAUUUAAUGACUGAAGACAUAUUCAUCUUUGAUUGUCACUCUGAGAUCUUUGUCUGGGUGGGGCAACAGGUUGACACCAAGAGCAAAAUGAAUGCUUUAACUAUUGGAGAGAAAUUUCUUGAAAAUGAUUUUCUGUUGGAAAAGUUAUCUUGUGAAGCUCCGAUAUAUAUUGUUAUGGAAGGGAGUGAGCCACCUUUCUUCACACGUUUCUUUGAAUGGGACUCUGCAAAAUCUGCUAUGCAUGGAAACUCAUUCCAAAGAAAACUUGCAAUUGUCAAAAAUGGGGGUACUCCUAUUGUUGAUAAACCCAAACGAAGAACACCUGUAUCCCAUGGAGGAAGAUCUAGUGUGCCAGACAAAUCUCAGCGUUCCAGAAGCAUGUCUUUCAGCCCUGAUCGAGUUCGUGUGAGGGGCAGGUCACCGGCCUUCAAUGCGCUAGCUGCUAAUUUUGAGAACCCUAAUGGCAGGAACCUUUCAACCCCACCACCAGUUGUUAGAAAGGUUUAUCCAAAAUCUGUGAGCCCAGAUUCAGCAACAGUGGCUUCCAAAUCUGCAGCCAUAGCAGCACUUACUGCAACUUUUGAACAACCGCCACCAGCACGACAAGUUAUAAUGCCCCGAUCCGUAAAAGUGAGCCCUGAGGCAGCAAAAUCAACGCCAAAUUCGGCAGCAAAAUCAACUCCAAAAGCAACUCCUGAAAAAUCAACACCUGAUUUAAACAAUAAAGGGAACUCUAUGAGCAACAGAAUAGAAUCCCUCACCAUAAAGGAGGAUGUGAAGGAGGGUGAAGCUGAAGACGAGGAAGGGCUCCCAAUAUAUCCAUAUGACUGCCUUAAAAUUAACUCGACAGAUCCUGUUACUGAAAUUGAUGUGACAAAGCGAGAGACUUACCUCUCAUCAGCAGAGUUUAGGGAGAAAUUUGGGAUGGCAAAGGAUGCCUUCUAUAAGAUGCCAAAAUGGAAACAGAACAAGCUUAAAAUGGCCCUUCAUUUGUUCUGAGUCUCCAUACCUCUGCCUUUCCUCCAGCUCCUGCAGCCUCAGCUGCAGGUGGAAGAAAUCUUAUUUGUGAAUCUUGGGGGGGGAUCUCAGUUUCUCAAAAGUAAAAGGGACAGCAUCAGUGCAUUUUUAGCUGCUUCUGCUCCCAGGAAGCUUGUUUUCUUGAUUGAUGGACAAAACCAGAGGUUUUUUCCAAUUUUCUUUUUCAUCUCUUGGUUUGAACAUGUAUCCCCUUAUUUGUGGUUGAGGUAGUUUUUUUUUGGUAUUCUUUAUGGUCACAGGUUUGUUGUGAGCUUGCAUUUUUGUUUUUCAUUAUUCAAUUGAAAAUUUGAUUGCUGUAGUGAUUAGUUGAUUGCGAAUGCAGACAGUUUAGAAUGUAUUGUACAACUGAGGAUGGAAGUGUGUACAGCAGAGUUUUAAAACCAGUCCACUCAUCACUUAAUUUGUUUUUAAUAAAAGUGUGCUUUUAUUAUAUUA